CCUACGGGGGGCAGCAGUCGAGAAUCUUCGGCAAUGGGCGCAAGCCUGACCGAGCGACGCCGCGUGCGCGAUGAAGGCCUUCGGGUUGUAAAGCGCUGUCGAGGGGGAGUAAAGGGCAACCUUGAACUAUCCCUGGAGGAAGCACGGGCUAAGUUCGUGCCAGCAGCCGCGGUAAGACGAACCGUGCGAACGUUGUUCGGAUUCACUGGGCUUAAAGGGCGCGUAGGCGGCUGAUCAAGUCAGGGGUGAAAUCUUUCGGCUUAACCGGAAAAUUGCCUUUGAUACUGGUCAGCUCGAGUGAGGUAGGGGCAGCUGGAACUUCCGGUGGAGCGGUGAAAUGUGUUGAUAUCGGAAGGAACUCCGGUGGCGAAAGCGAGCUGCUGGACCUCUUCUGACGCUGAGGCGCGAAAGCUAGGGGAGCAAACGGGAUUAGAUACC
This 438-nucleotide ribosomal RNA is filed under the name uncultured Fimbriiglobus sp. RNAcentral's name for it is "bacterial SSU rRNA". It matches the Rfam family "Bacterial small subunit ribosomal RNA", at positions 338 to 786 of the family's 1533-position model. Lineage: Bacteria; Pseudomonadati; Planctomycetota; Planctomycetia; Gemmatales; Gemmataceae. The record is from RNAcentral.